This 1311-nucleotide ribosomal RNA is filed under the name Triticum aestivum (bread wheat). RNAcentral's name for it is "partial small subunit ribosomal RNA". The record is from RNAcentral. Lineage: Eukaryota; Viridiplantae; Streptophyta; Magnoliopsida; Poales; Poaceae.
AUGGGUGGGGUUGCGCCUGGCGUUAUAAUAACAGAUGAGUGUGGUAGCAUGAGGAAAGCUAUCGAGGCACUUCUACCUAAUACCAUGCACCGGUUGUGUAUGUGGCAUAUUAUGCGGAAGGUUCCUGAGAAGGUUGCUCCUGAAUUGAGAAGCGAUGAAUUAUUCUACAAGAGAAUGGAUUCUUGUGUAUGGAAUUCUGAGACACCUGCAGAAUUUGAAGAAAGUUGGAAGUCUUUAAUAUCAGAUUUUGGCUUACAAGACAAUACAUGGUUUGGAAAAUGUUACUCGAUCCGUGGGUCAUGGGUGCCGGCGUAUUUCAUGGACACCCCCCUUGCUGGUAUUCUUAGAACCACCUCUAGGUCAGAGAGUGAAAACUCAUUUUUCAAGAAUUUUAUCCGGCGCAAGCUCGCUUUUAUUGAGUUUUGGCUUAGGUUCGACACAGCCUUGAAAUGUCAGAGACAAGAGGAGCUGAUUGCUGACCACACAAGCAUUCAUACGACACCUAGCUUGCUGACAUGUUGGGAAGUGGAAAGACAAGGCAGCAUGAUAUUCACUCAUGAGGUCUUUGCCUUGUUUCAGUCAGAAGUACUUGCUGCUAGAGAGCAUUGUGAUGUCCAGGAAACCACAACUGUGGGGGAACUCAAGAUCAUGUUGAUUAGUGAUCAAAGUCAUAGGAAAAACAAGGUAAGAGAGGUACGUUUGGAAACAACAACCAUGAUUGCUAAAUGUUCUUGCAAGCUAUUCGAGUCUAAGGGCAUUGUGUGCCGGCAUAUCAUACGUGUCUUGAGGGGUGCGAAGAUAAAUGAGCUUCCAACCUUCUAUGUACUCAAAAGAUGGGAAAAAAUGUGCAAAAGGGAUGUUGUGUACGAUGAUGAAGGAAAUCCACUUGAAGAUAAUCAUGUUGACUGUGUUGACAUGGAUACAAGAAGAAAGAUCUCUGCAGCACGGGACAAAUUAGAACAUAUCAUCAGGUGUGCUAAAAAGUCGAGCGGAGGACUUGACUUACUCAAUACGGGUUUGUGCAAUCUCAAAUCAGCUAUCUUGCAAUCCGCCCCUGAUGUACCUCAGACUGCACAAGAAGAGCAAGAAUCAUUCGUUGGUAGCAUGAUCCCCGCCCAAGUUGAUAUCCUAACGCCGACUAACAUCAACGCGAGGGGUACAUGCUCCAGAAUUAAGGGCCAUAGAGACAAUGAAAAGAAGUCAGGGGCAAAGAAGAUCAAGUUAGGGGUUAAUGUACGAGUGCCACGCAAUUGCAACACAUGCAAGGAAGUCGUGUUACAUGACAGUCGUAUUUGUUCGAAGAAAAAAUGA